This 497-nucleotide ribosomal RNA is filed under the name uncultured bacterium. RNAcentral describes it as "partial 16S ribosomal RNA". It matches the Rfam family "Bacterial small subunit ribosomal RNA", at positions 28 to 507 of the family's 1533-position model. The record is from RNAcentral.
GAUGAACGCUGGCGGCGUGCCUAAUACAUGCAAGUCGAGCGAACGGACGAGAAGCUUGCUUCUCUGAUGUUAGCGGCGGACGGGUGAGUAACACGUGGAUAACCUACCUAUAAGACUGGGAUAACUUCGGGAAACCGGAGCUAAUACCGGAUAAUAUUUUGAACCGCAUGGUUCAAAAGUGAAAGACGGUCUUGCUGUCACUUAUAGAUGGAUCCGCGCUGCAUUAGCUAGUUGGUAAGGUAACGGCUUACCAAGGCAACGAUGCAUAGCCGACCUGAGAGGGUGAUCGGCCACGCUGGAACUGAGACACGGUCCGGACUCCUACGGGAGGCAGCAGUAGGGAAUCUUCCGCAAUGGGCGAAAGCCUGACGGAGCAACGCCGCGUGAGUGAUAAAGGUCUUCGGAUCGUAAAACCCUGUUAUUAGGGAAGAACGUAUGUGUAAGUAACUGUGCACAUCUUGACGGUACCUAAUCAGAAAGCCACGGCUAACUACGUG